Molecule: long non-coding RNA, 636 nt
Organism: Panicum virgatum (switchgrass)
Lineage: Eukaryota; Viridiplantae; Streptophyta; Magnoliopsida; Poales; Poaceae
Exons: 3
Source: RefSeq, a predicted model, not a curated record
CUCACCCGGCCGUCGCCCCCUCACUCACCAACUACUCACCCGGCCAUCGCCCCCUCGCUCGCUCACCAGUCGCUCGCUCCUCUCCGCUCCAACAGGCCACACCACGCAGUCAUGUCUGGAGGUCACGCUGUAGCGAAACUUUAUUUCAACUGCGGUUAUUGUGGAGUAGCCCUAUCUGAUGGGACUUUUACAUACGACAAAAUGGUUUCUACGGAUGAAAGAUGUCAACGUCUAUUUUGUGAGUCAUGCGCACGAAUUCACGAGAAUUCCUUCAAUCAUGAUAUUUUUCGAGCACAUAAUCUCGAUUAUAUCAUUUGAACUGGUAUAUUUGUUUGCGCUUUUGAGGGAUGUGCCCAAGAAAUACCUGCACCACUGUAUAGUCAUCAUCAGAGGACGUGCCCGUACAAAAGACUUACGUGUCCAAUAUGUAAUAAUGGAUUUGCCUUGAUAUCACUGAGGUCACAUCUUCUGAGAGAACAUCAGUUCAACCAUUACCAGCUUAAUUAUGGUUCUCCCAGCACUGGUCAUAAUAUCUCCAAAGUUAGAGGGUGUGUUUUUAGCGGUAGAGAGGAAGACUUUGUGUUCUUCAUUAGAGGCGCAACCCUUUAUUUUGUAUGGCCUGGUGCAUCAGCUGCU